CCUGCGGAGGGAUCAUUACCGAGUUUACAACUCCCAAACCCCUGUGAACAUACCUUACUGUUGCCUCGGCGGAUCAGCCCGCUCCCGGUAAAACGGGACGGCCCGCCAGAGGACCCCUAAACUCUGUUUCUAUAUGUAACUUCUGAGUAAAACCAUAAAUAAAUCAAAACUUUCAACAACGGAUCUCUUGGUUCUGGCAUCGAUGAAGAACGCAGCAAAAUGCGAUAAGUAAUGUGAAUUGCAGAAUUCAGUGAAUCAUCGAAUCUUUGAACGCACAUUGCGCCCGCCAGUAUUCUGGCGGGCAUGCCUGUUCGAGCGUCAUUUCAACCCUCAAGCCCUCGGGUUUGGUGUUGGGGAUCGGCGAGCCUUUCUGGCAAGCCGGCCCCGAAAUCUAGUGGCGGUCUCGCUGCAGCCUCCAUUGCGUAGUAGUAAAACCCUCGCAACUGGAACGCGGCGCGGCCAAGCCGUUAAACCCCCAACUUCUGAAUGUUGACCUCGGAUCAGGUAGGAAUACCCGCUGAACUUAAGCAUAUC
This 534-nucleotide ribosomal RNA is filed under the name Fusarium sp. HS2. RNAcentral's name for it is "eukaryotic LSU rRNA". The stretch from base 168 to 321 matches the Rfam family "5.8S ribosomal RNA". The record is from RNAcentral. Lineage: Eukaryota; Fungi; Ascomycota; Sordariomycetes; Hypocreales; Nectriaceae.